CCAGGUCUUGACAUACUCGUGCUAUUCCUAGAGAUAGGAAGUUCCUUCGGGACACGGGAUACAGGUGGUGCAUGGUUGUCGUCAGCUCGUGUCGUGAGAUGUUGGGUUAAGUCCGCAACGAGCGCAACCCCUAUUGUUAGUUGCCAUCAUUAAGUUGGGCACUCUAACGAGACUGCCGGUGAUAAACCGGAGGAAGGUGGGGAUGACGUCAAAUCAUCAUGCCCCUUAUGACCUGGGCUACACACGUGCUACAAUGGAUGGUACAACGAGUCGCGAGACAGUGAUGUUUAGCUAAUCUCUUAAAACCAUUCUCAGUUCGGAUUGUAGGCUGCAACUCGCCUACAUGAAGUCGGAAUCGCUAGUAAUCGCGGAUCAGCACGCCGCGGUGAAUACGUUCCCGGGCCUUGUACACACCGCCCGUCACACCACGGGAGUUGGGAGUACCCGAAGUAGGUUGCCUAACCGCAAGGAGGGCGCUUCCUAAGGUAAGACCGAUGACUGGGGUGAAGUCGUAACAAGGUAGGCGUAGCGAG
This 533-nucleotide ribosomal RNA is filed under the name uncultured bacterium. Its description in RNAcentral is "bacterial SSU rRNA". It matches the Rfam family "Bacterial small subunit ribosomal RNA", at positions 974 to 1509 of the family's 1533-position model. The record is from RNAcentral.